UGAAGAGACUUAGCAGCAGCAGCAGCAUGUAAAGUCUACUCACGGGGGGCACCAAUGGCCUUGGCACAAGCCUCCAUUUGGCCUGCGGGUCUGAAGGAGGGGCCUGCACCUCAGCCCGGAGUCCCGUAUCUGUGGGUUCAGUGGGCAAAGCAGUGGCCCUGUCCCCACAGAGUGCCCCGGGUCCACUCUGCCACCUGCCGCACGGGGCCUUGCAAGAGGCUGGCCUGGGGUGGGGCGGGGGGCGGGGCGUGGGCCUGGCUGAUAGCCAAUCUCCUGCCUCCUCCCUCCUCCCCAGUCUUUUACUGAGAUUUGCUCUUCCCUCAAAACCCGCUCCCCCUCGACCCGAACGUGGCUCAGAGGCUUUCGUCUCUCGGACCAAAAUGUUGGCUGCAGACAGCACAGGCUUCACUCUGCCUCCGGGGAUGGGUGACAUUGCCCUUUCUGCCCUCGGAGGGACCUCUGAGCCGGGCCUUGCCUGGGAGGAGGAGACGCCUGGCUCACAAAGGCCUUCUCCCCUCUCCGAGGAGGUGGUAGAGUGUUUCAGGCGCGGGUGGCCUCCCAUGUCCUUCCUAGUUCAGCUUUAACCCUCUUAUCGAGGCAGGGUAAAAAGUUCCCAGAGCUUCCUUACUGGCCAGGCCGGGAGGGGCCCUCAAGGGCUUCCACUGAGGGGCCCGGGGAGAUGCUGCCCUGUCGCAGCGCUGGGUGGGGAGAGGUUCCCCAGCAACGGGCCCUCUUACAUAAUCUAGCGCAUCGGCGUGACUCCAGGUGCCCGUGGGAGGCAGCGUGGGGGUGAGCGCAGGGGCGAGGACGAGUCUCAGAGUUUCACUCGGUGUUUCUCCCCCUCUUAUUACAUUUCAGCGUCAUCCUGCGUCUGCCAGCUCGGUCACCCACUUGCUCGUUAGAAUAUAUUAACUGACAACGCAGAUUUAAAUAACUCGGGCAGAGCCCCCAGACCCGGGCCUCCCGCACCGGCCCAGAUUUCCCACCAGGAAAACUCCAGAGACCUUGAUUCCACCUCAGAUGAAGUCAAAGCCGAGGCUCCCCUCCGGGCACAGGCUCCCUGCUGGAAAGCUGUGGGCUUGUGGACAGACUCUGGCUUUCAGUCUCCCAGGCUGGUGUCUGGAGCUCAGCCUCCCCUGAGUUAGGCAGAGAGGACCGAGGACGCGGCCACGCUCGUGGGAGACGUGACCCCAGUAUCUUGGCUCCUGGUCCGCGGAGGACAUGAGGUGCUGGCGGGGCUGGUGGGCAGGGACACCACAUCGGGGAGCCUCCGCUGCCACCUGGUGGACAGACGCAUGGCGGGCGACGAGACCCAUGGCAGGCGCCGAGAGUGGUGGCCCAGCUAGCCAGGUGGAUGGGCUGCCGGGGGCGGAGGGGUGGUGACAAGGGUGGGGCCGCCCAGGUUGGGGCGGCAGGCUCCUGCUUGCCCCUGAGUCUGGGUAGUCAGCAGGCGGCUCUCGGCACCGGCUCCAUGGGACCCGAACUCGCUGAGAUGCAUUCUCAGGAGGAGAGGAGUGCCAGCCUGCCAGGACCCAGCAGCGAAGAAAAGACGGUGCCUGGGAGAGGCCGCCUGGAACCUGCAGAGGGAACGUGGGGACUGCAGACUGCCUGGCCACUUUCACUCUGUGAGAACACUGCUUACUGUGAUGUUUAUUUUCAAAGGGCCCUAUGACAUCCUUUUUGAGAAAACGGAGAUAAAAUUUACAGAGCAUAAAAUCAGCCAUUUUAAAGUAUACAAUCCUGUCCACUUUAGUGGUGUUGAGUGCUGUCACACUAACAGCACCCACUAACUCUAGUCCUGAAGCACUUUGAUCACCCGGAGGGGGACCCCGUGCGCAUUAACCAUCAGGUCCCGCUGCUCCCUCCCCCGGCCCCGCCCUGUCUCUGUGGUCACCUCACAUCAGUGGAAUCAUGCGACGUGUGACCUUUGGUGCCUGGCAUCCUUCACUCAGUGUCUGAGGAGCAUCCAUGUUGUCACGCGGCCCGUGCUUCACUCCUCACGGCUCAGGAACAUUCCGACGUGGGGAGGACAUUUUGUACACCCAGUCAUUGGUGGGCGAUAGAAGGUUGUUACCACCUUUGGGUGGCCAUGGGGAGUGCGGCCAUGAACAGUCAUGGACAAGUUUUGGUGUGAACACCUGUUUUAAGUUUACUUUAGGAGUGGAGUUGCUGGGUCACAAGGUAGUUUUAUGUUCGGUUUUCUGAGGAACCACCAAGCUGUUUUCCUAGUGGCUGCGUCAUUUUGCGCUCUCAUCAGCAGUGCACAAGGAUUCCACUUCCUCCACAUCCUCACCAACCAUUGUUAUUUUCUAUAUAUUUUUUAAUUCUAGCCCCAUCUUAUUGGGUACAAUGUGGUACUCAUUGUGGUUUUGAUUUGAAUUUCCCCAAUCCCUAAGUGACUGUCUUUUCAUGUGAGUGACAUCAUUUUUAUUUUGUACUUAUUUA
Cervus elaphus (red deer) is the source of this 2445-nucleotide long non-coding RNA. RefSeq lists it as uncharacterized. Lineage: Eukaryota; Metazoa; Chordata; Mammalia; Artiodactyla; Cervidae. The transcript has 3 exons. The record is from RefSeq and is a predicted model, not a curated record.